AUUACCGGUACUCAAAUACAAAAAUAACAAAAGUAAUCAUAGUAAUCAAAUAAUUUUUAUCCCUUAAACAGAUCGGUGAAGGUCGUUGUUAUAUCGGAAUACCUAUACAAAAUACCUACCUACUGAGAAAUACGAUUCUCGAUAUGAUUACCGGUACUCAAAUACAAAAAUAACAAAAGUAAUCAUAGUAAUCAAAUCAUUUUUAUCCCUUAAACAGAUCGGUGAAGGUCGUUGUUAUAUCGGAAUACCUAUACAAAAUACCUACCUACUGAGAAAUACGAUUCUCGAUAUGAUUACCGGUACUCAAAUACAAAAAUAACAAAAGUAAUCAUAGUAAUCAAAUCAUUUUUAUCCCUUAAACAGAUCGGUGAAGGUUGUUGUUAUAUCGGAAUACCUAUACAAAAUACCUACCUACUGAGAAAUACGA
Diabrotica virgifera virgifera (western corn rootworm) is the source of this 427-nucleotide long non-coding RNA. RefSeq lists it as uncharacterized. The transcript has 3 exons. The record is from RefSeq and is a predicted model, not a curated record. Lineage: Eukaryota; Metazoa; Arthropoda; Insecta; Coleoptera; Chrysomelidae.